Symphalangus syndactylus (siamang) is the source of this 296-nucleotide long non-coding RNA. RefSeq lists it as uncharacterized. The record is from RefSeq and is a predicted model, not a curated record. Lineage: Eukaryota; Metazoa; Chordata; Mammalia; Primates; Hylobatidae.
GGGCAGAUUAAGUUAUUCCUCAUUGGUGGCAGCAAUGAUUUGGAGUUGGCCUUUAUGUCUUGUCAUUUGAUAAUAUCUGUAAAUGGAUUAAUGGAUUUUCAAGAUCUCUGUGAGUGCCAGGUACUGUCAAAAAGCCCGCCCUUUGUGGAGCUCAUUUCCUAGCGAGAGAGCCAUACUGAAAUCAAGAAUCACGAGCCCCGGAGUCAGGAGAGAGUGUUUCGUUCACUUACCCACCAUAAAUCCCACCAGGAAAGAUGCCAGCGCAGCAGCCAAGCACAUCCAAAGGUACAGACGGC